RNAcentral lists this ribosomal RNA (229 nucleotides) under uncultured bacterium. RNAcentral's name for it is "partial 16S ribosomal RNA". It matches the Rfam family "Bacterial small subunit ribosomal RNA", at positions 568 to 796 of the family's 1533-position model. The record is from RNAcentral.
UCCGUAGGCGGGCUAAUAAGUCAGCGGUGAAAUCCCACAGCUUAACUGUGGAACUGCCUUUGAUACUGUUAGUCUUGAGUUAUAUGGAAGUAGAUAGAAUGUGUAGUGUAGCGGUGAAAUGCAUAGAUAUUACACAGAAUACCGAUUGCGAAGGCAGUCUACUACGUAUAUACUGACGCUAAUGGACGAAAGCGUGGGGAGCGAACAGGAUUAGAUACCCUGGUAGUCC